CUGCGAGUGAGCGGGAAAAGCUCAAAUUUAAAAUCUGGUGGUCUUUGGCCAUCCGAGUUGUAAUUUAGAGAAGCGUCUUCCGCGCUGGACCAUGCACAAGUCUCCUGGAAUGGAGCGUCAUAGAGGGUGAGAAUCCCGUCUUUGGCAUGGAUGCACCAGGGCUUUUGUGAUGCGCUCUCGAAGAGUCGAGUUGUUUGGGAAUGCAGCUCAAAAUGGGUGGUGAACUCCAUCUAAAGCUAAAUAUUGGCGAGAGACCGAUAGCGAACAAGUACCGUGAGGGAAAGAUGAAAAGCACUUUGGAAAGAGAGUGAAACAGUACGUGAAAUUGUUGAAAGGGAAACGCUUGAAGUCAGUCGCGUCGGCCAAGACUCAGCCUUGCCUUGGCUUGGUGUACUUCUUGGCCGACGGGUCAGCAUCAAUUUCGCCCCUUGGAUAAUGGCUAGGGAAAUGUGACACCUUUCAGGUGUGUUAUAGUCCUUUGUCACAUGCAAGGGUCAGGAUUGAGGAACUCAGCAUGCACCUUUGGGUGUCGGGGUUUUU
RNAcentral lists this ribosomal RNA (540 nucleotides) under Russula aurantioflava. RNAcentral describes it as "Russula sp. MC-2019c partial large subunit ribosomal RNA". It matches the Rfam family "Eukaryotic large subunit ribosomal RNA", at positions 87 to 634 of the family's 3401-position model. The record is from RNAcentral. Lineage: Eukaryota; Fungi; Basidiomycota; Agaricomycetes; Russulales; Russulaceae.